GACGAACGCUGGCGGCGCGCCUAACACAUGCAAGUCGAACGGAGUCAGGAGGAGCUUGCUUUUCUUGACUUAGUGGCGAACGGGUGAGUAACGCGUGAGUAACCUGCCCUGGAGUGGGGGACAACAGUUGGAAACGACUGCUAAUACCGCAUAAGCCCACGGAUCCGCAUGGAUCUGCGGGAAAAGGAUUUAUUCGCUUCAGGAUGGACUCGCGUCCAAUUAGCUAGUUGGUGAGGUAACGGCCCACCAAGGCGACGAUUGGUAGCCGGACUGAGAGGUUGAACGGCCACAUUGGGACUGAGACACGGCCCAGACUCCUACGGGAGGCAGCAGUGGGGGAUAUUGCACAAUGGGGGAAACCCUGAUGCAGCGACGCCGCGUGGAGGAAGAAGGUUUUCGGAUUGUAAACUCCUGUCGUUAGGGACGAUAAUGACGGUACCUAACAAGAAAGCACCGGCUAACUACGUG
Molecule: ribosomal RNA, 468 nt
Filed under: uncultured bacterium
Lineage: Bacteria
Description: partial 16S ribosomal RNA
Rfam family: Bacterial small subunit ribosomal RNA
Source: RNAcentral